This 477-nucleotide ribosomal RNA is filed under the name uncultured organism. RNAcentral describes it as "partial 16S ribosomal RNA". It matches the Rfam family "Bacterial small subunit ribosomal RNA", at positions 332 to 800 of the family's 1533-position model. The record is from RNAcentral.
UACACUCCUACGGGAGGCAGCAGUGGGGAAUUUUGGACAAUGGGCGAAAGCCUGAUCCAGCCAUGCCGCGUGCAGGAUGAAGGCCUUCGGGUUGUAAACUGCUUUUGUACGGAACGAAACGGCCUUUUCUAAUAAAGAGGGCUAAUGACGGUACCGUAAGAAUAAGCACCGGCUAACUACGUGCCAGCAGCCGCGGUAAUACGUAGGGUGCAAGCGUUAAUCGGAAUUACUGGGCGUAAAGCGUGCGCAGGCGGUUAUGUAAGACAGUUGUGAAAUCCCCGGGCUCAACCUGGGAACUGCAUCUGUGACUGCAUAGCUAGAGUACGGUAGAGGGGGAUGGAAUUCCGCGUGUAGCAGUGAAAUGCGUAGAUAUGCGGAGGAACACCGAUGGCGAAGGCAAUCCCCUGGACCUGUACUGACGCUCAUGCACGAAAGCGUGGGGAGCAAACAGGAUUAGAUACCCCAGUAGUCCCAUGA